Non-coding RNA from Mollicutes bacterium, 46 nucleotides. The record is from Rfam. Lineage: Bacteria; Bacillati; Mycoplasmatota; Mollicutes.
AAAAAGGUCUUAUUAAAGACCAUCUUCAUUUUAGUUUUGUGCUUGG